AUCCUGGCUCAGGAUGAACGCUAGCGGCAGGCUUAAUACAUGCAAGUCGUGGGGCAGCAUGAGUAGCAAUACUUGAUGGCGACCGGCAAACGGGUGAGGAACACGUACACAACCUUCCUUCAAGCGGGGGAAUAGCCCAGAGAAAUUUGGAUUAAUACCCCAUAAUAUAUUUGAUAAGGCAUCUUAUUAAUAUUAAAGCUUCGGCACUUGAUGAUGGGUGUGCGGCUGAUUAGAUAGUUGGCGGGGUAACGGCCCACCAAGUCUACGAUCAGUAGCUGAUGUGAGAGCAUGAUCAGCCACACGGGCACUGAGACACGGGCCCGACUCCUACGGGAGGCAGCAGUAAGGAAUAUUGGACAAUGGACGAAAGUCUGAUCCAGCCAUGCCGCGUGAAGGAUUAAGGUCCUCUGGAUUGUAAACUUCUUUUAUAUGGGACGAAAAAAGGGCAUUCUUGUUCACUUGACGGUACCAUAUGAAUAAGCACCGGCUAACUCCGUG
RNAcentral lists this ribosomal RNA (498 nucleotides) under uncultured bacterium. Its description in RNAcentral is "bacterial SSU rRNA". It matches the Rfam family "Bacterial small subunit ribosomal RNA", at positions 16 to 507 of the family's 1533-position model. The record is from RNAcentral.